RNAcentral lists this ribosomal RNA (628 nucleotides) under Thanatephorus sp. EM1015D. RNAcentral's name for it is "eukaryotic LSU rRNA". The stretch from base 207 to 360 matches the Rfam family "5.8S ribosomal RNA". Lineage: Eukaryota; Fungi; Basidiomycota; Agaricomycetes; Cantharellales; Ceratobasidiaceae. The record is from RNAcentral.
AAGGGAUAUUUGGUUGUAGCUGGCUCAUGAAUUUGGGCAUGUGCACACCUAUCUCUUUCAUCCACACACACCUGUGCACUUGUGAGGCAGAUGGGGAAUUUAUUGAUUGUUUUUUAAGAACAAUUGGUGCUGGACCCUCUGUCUACUCAAUACAUAAACUCAAUUUAUUUAGAAAUGAAUGUAAUGGAUGUAACGCAUCUAAUACUAAGUUUCAACAACGGAUCUCUUGGCUCUCGCAUCGAUGAAGAACGCAGCGAAAUGCGAUAAGUAAUGUGAAUUGCAGAAUUCAGUGAAUCAUCGAAUCUUUGAACGCACCUUGCGCUCCUUGGUAUUCCUUGGAGCAUGCCUGUUUGAGUAUCAUGAAAUCUUCAAAGUAAAUCUUUUGUUAACUCAAUUGGUCCUACUUUGGUAUUGGAGGUCUUUGCAGCUUCACACCUGCUCCUCUUUGUUCAUUAGCUGGAUCUCAGUGUUAUGCUUGGUUCCACUCAGCGUGAUAAGUUAUCUAUCGCUGAGGACACUGUAACAGGUGGCCAAGGGAAAUGCAGAUGAACCGCUUCUAGUAGUCCAUUGACUUGGACAAUAUUUUUAUGAUCUGAUCUCAAAUCAGGUAGGACUACCCGCUGAACUU